AGGAAUAAAUAUUUUAAAAAAAAGGGGUUCUAGUGAAAACAUUUCUAAAGUGAAUGGGGCCUUAUGUUAUAGAGACACUUUUAAAAAGGAAAAGUCACAUUCCCUACAUGGUUGUAUAUAGUUUGAAUAUUAAUUAUAAGUGGACCGACCAUUGCUAAAGCCAAUGAUUCAUAUUUCACUUUCAUUGUUGUGGCAUUAUUUCUUGUGAAAUUAGGUAAAAGUGAAAGAAAAUUUUACAUUAAGGUGCAGUCAACUAAAAACAAAAGUUAAAAGAUUUAUCUUAUGCCAAUAAAAUAAAUUUAACCAUUCAAUUCACCUACCAUUUUAGACAGUCAUGACCAAGUUGUCAUAGCCCUACUACAAAGCUAGCUAUAAGAAGGGACCACAUGCAACAUCAACCCCAUCUGGCCAACUUUAUGGGGUUAGAUUUGAGCUGCAACAUGUGGCCUUUAUGUUUAGGGCAUAUGCCUCUUGUGUUUGGGAACAACAUGCUUGACCAUUCUUAACACCAACCUCGACCACAAAUUUAGGAACAACAUGCUUGACUGAACACCUAACUUCAAUUACAUAUGAACUCAUGAUUAGUUAUUACUUCAAAUUUCAUUAGAUCUAGUUGUAACUUUAAAUAUAAGUAUUUUUCGAAAAACUAUAAGAACAAAAAAAUAAGUAAUAUUAAACAUAAAAUUUGAGAUAAGAAUAAAUAGGUGGGAUGCAAGUUUGAGAAUUUUUUU
RNAcentral lists this long non-coding RNA (731 nucleotides) under Vitis vinifera (wine grape). RNAcentral describes it as "long non-coding RNA (VVIN_LNC006365)". The record is from RNAcentral. Lineage: Eukaryota; Viridiplantae; Streptophyta; Magnoliopsida; Vitales; Vitaceae.